AGCAGCCGCGGUAAUUCCAGCUCCAAUAGCGUAUAUUAAAGUUGUUGCAGUUAAAAAGCUCGUAGUUGAAUUUCGGGGUCAGUAGGUUGGUCGUGCCACUGGUAUGCACUGGUCUCACUGAUUCCUCCUUCCUGAUGAACCGUAAUGCCAUUAAUUUGGUGUUGCGGGGAAUCUGGACUGUUACUUUGAAAAAUUAGAGUGUUUAAAGCAGGCUAACGCUUGAAUACAUUAGCAUGGAAUAAUGGAAUAGGACGAUCGAUCCUAUUUUGUUGGUUUCUAGGAUUGACGUAAUGAUUAAUAGGGAUAGUUGGGGGCAUUAGUAUUCAAUUGUCAGAGGUGAAAUUCUUGGAUUUUAUUGAAGCUAACUACUGCGAAAGCAUUUGCCAAGGAUGUUU
This 395-nucleotide ribosomal RNA is filed under the name uncultured Glomus. RNAcentral describes it as "SSU rRNA". It matches the Rfam family "Eukaryotic small subunit ribosomal RNA", at positions 569 to 969 of the family's 1831-position model. The record is from RNAcentral. Lineage: Eukaryota; Fungi; Glomeromycota; Glomeromycetes; Glomerales; Glomeraceae.